GACGAACGCUGGCGGCGUGCCUAAUACAUGCAAGUAGAACGCUGAACAGAGGAGCUUGCUCUUCUUGGAUGAGUUGCGAACGGGUGAGUAACGCGUAGGUAACCUGCCUUGUAGCGGGGGAUAACUAUUGGAAACGAUAGCUAAUACCGCAUAACAAUGGAUGACACAUGUCAUUUAUUUGAAAGGGGCAAUUGCUCCACUACAAGAUGGACCUGCGUUGUAUUAGCUAGUAGGUGAGGUAAUGGCUCACCUAGGCGACGAUACAUAGCCGACCUGAGAGGGUGAUCGGCCACACUGGGACUGAGACACGGCCCAGACUCCUACGGGAGGCAGCAGUAGGGAAUCUUCGGCAAUGGGGGCAACCCUGACCGAGCAACGCCGCGUGAGUGAAGAAGGUUUUCGGAUCGUAAAGCUCUGUUGUAAGUCAAGAACGGGUGUGAGAGUGGAAAGUUCACACUGUGACGGUAGCUUACCAGAAAGGGACGGCUAACUACGUG
RNAcentral lists this ribosomal RNA (497 nucleotides) under uncultured bacterium. RNAcentral describes it as "partial 16S ribosomal RNA". It matches the Rfam family "Bacterial small subunit ribosomal RNA", at positions 28 to 507 of the family's 1533-position model. The record is from RNAcentral.